CCUACGGGUGGCAGCAGUGAGGAAUAUUGGUCAAUGGGCGCGAGCCUGAACCAGCCAAGUAGCGUGAAGGAUGACUGCCCUACGGGUUGUAAACUUCUUUUAUAAAGGAAUAAAGUGAGCUACGUGUGCCUUUAUGCCUGUACUUUAUGAAUAAGGAUCGGCUAACUCCGUGCCAGCAGCCGCGGUAAUACGGAGGAUCCGAGCGUUAUCCGGAUUUAUUGGGUUUAAAGGGAGCGUAGAUGGGUUGUUAAGUCAGUUGUUAAAGUUUGGGGCUCAACCGUAAAAUUGCAAUUGAUACUGGCAGCCUUGAGUACAGUUGAGGUAGGCGGAAUACGUGGUGUAGCGGUGAAAUGCUUAGAUAUCACGAAGAACUCCGAUUGCGAAGGCAGCUUACUAAACUGCCACUGACAUUGAUGCUCGAAAGUGUGGGUAUCAAACAGGAUUAGAUACCCUUGUAGUC
Molecule: ribosomal RNA, 460 nt
Filed under: uncultured bacterium
Lineage: Bacteria
Description: partial 16S ribosomal RNA
Rfam family: Bacterial small subunit ribosomal RNA
Source: RNAcentral